Molecule: ribosomal RNA, 242 nt
Filed under: uncultured bacterium
Lineage: Bacteria
Description: partial 16S ribosomal RNA
Rfam family: Bacterial small subunit ribosomal RNA
Source: RNAcentral
AGGCCAGGCUAAUCCCAAAAAAUAGCAUCUCAGUUCGGAUUGGAGUCUGCAACUCGACUCCAUGAAGUCGGAAUCGCUAGUAAUUCCAGAUCAGCAUGCUGGGGUGAAUGCGUUCCCGGGCCUUGUACACACCGCCCGUCACACCAUGGGAGUCGGUAACACCCGAAGUCGGUAGCCUAACCGUAAGGAGGGCGCCGCCGAAGGUGGGAUUGAUGACUGGGGUGAAGUCGUAACAAGGUACC